GACGAACGCUGGCGGCGUGCCUAAUACAUGCAAGUCGAACGAGAGCGACCGGUGCUUGCACUGGUCAAUCUAGUGGCGAACGGGUGAGUAACACGUGGGUAACCUGCCCAUCAGAGGGGGAUAACAUCCGGAAACGGAUGCUAAAACCGCAUAGGUCUUCGAGCCGCAUGGCUUGAAGAGGAAAAGAGGCGCAAGCUUCUGCUGGUGGAUGGACCCGCGGUGCAUUAGCUAGUUGGUGAGGUAACGGCUCACCAAGGCCGUGAUGCAUAGCCGACCUGAGAGGGUGAUCGGCCACAUUGGGACUGAGACACGGCCCAAACUCCUACGGGAGGCAGCAGUAGGGAAUCUUCCGCAAAGGACGCAAGUCUGACGGAGCAACGCCGCGUGAGUGAAGAAGGUUUUCGGAUCGUAAAACUCUGUUGUUAGAGAAGAACAAGUGCUAGAGUAACUGUUAGCGCCUUGACGGUAUCUAACCAGAAAGCCACGGCUAACUACGUG
RNAcentral lists this ribosomal RNA (498 nucleotides) under uncultured bacterium. RNAcentral's name for it is "partial 16S ribosomal RNA". It matches the Rfam family "Bacterial small subunit ribosomal RNA", at positions 28 to 507 of the family's 1533-position model. The record is from RNAcentral.